UUGAAAAUAGUAUUUGAUAUCAAAAUGGGCCUUUAUGCUAGUUCAUGGGCUUAUGUCUAGGGGGAAGGUUGGCCCUUUGUUGCAAGUUUGUAAUGAUUCUUAGGUGGAAAGGGAAGCCCAUAACUGCAAUGGACACAAUUGUCAUGUCUAAAUGGUUUCUGUUAAUAAGUUAGCAACCACAAAUCUCUUUGAUUGAGGCUGAAGUUUUGGAAUAGUUGCAGUGGCAGAUCAGUCUGAUGAAAUACUUAACCUAGCCUUAUAUCAGUUUUUUUGCUCAUUUGGUAUUAUAUUUUGCUGCAAAAUCUCCUUUAUUCUUACUUAUAGUCGAAUUAUUAAUUGGAAAACAGUUGAGGUAUCAAUGCAAUCUCUCUCUUUUUGGCUUUUUUUGGAAUUGUUUUUAUGUUUUUUCUGAUUGAAAUUAUCGUAUUUGUCUACAGUGCCCGAAACAACCUACAAACGUGGAAUGUGGGUUCUAUGUAAUGAAAUACAUGAAAGUUUUGAUUAGAGAUGAGAGGAUCUUAAGCAAAGGAAAUUUCAAUGGAAAAAAAACUUACACGAAAGCCGAAAUUGAUGAAGUGGGAGCCGAGUGGAUGAAGUCCGUCAUGAACGAAGUAUAAUCAGCUUAUACAUGCAUGCUUUGAGAAUGACGAAGUGCUUGAAAUUGGCUUUUGAGAAUGACAAAGUGCUUGAAAUUGGCUUCAGAGAAUGACGAAGUGUUAUUCGUUGUAGCAUAGGACAUAACUUCAUGCUUGUGGUUCAAGUGUUCUUUGUCAUUUUUUUGUUGAAGCUUUUGUUCUGUAUUUUUUAUGCAUUUUCAGAAAUUUGAUUGAUCUUAUAUUGAAAGUAGGCUUUCUGGCACGAUGUUUCUAUCUAUGAUAUGUUUUGGGCAAGAUGCAAUAUCAUUUAUGCAUAUUUCGUAUGGCAAAAUCUUUUGUUUUGGAGAAGAUAGCUAUGGGCUGAAUACAUAUUUUACAUGUAUUUAUUAUUGGUUAGAGAUUCGGGCAUUUGUUAAAAGCAAAAAAAAAAAAAAAAAGAUGUAUCUUUCAAUCACGUUUCUAGACUGUGAUGAUAAGAACAUUUAAUCACGCUUUUGGACGAAAACCGUGAUCGAAAAAUCAUAAAAGAUCAUGCCUAACUAUUUUCCAUCUCAUUUUUUAGACAUGAAAGAUCACAGUAUUUGGUGGUGAUUGUAUCUACAUAUAAUCACGGUUUUUCAAGAAAAGUGUGAU
Molecule: long non-coding RNA, 1229 nt
Organism: Rhododendron vialii
Lineage: Eukaryota; Viridiplantae; Streptophyta; Magnoliopsida; Ericales; Ericaceae
Exons: 3
Source: RefSeq, a predicted model, not a curated record